This 477-nucleotide ribosomal RNA is filed under the name uncultured Alphaproteobacteria bacterium. RNAcentral describes it as "bacterial SSU rRNA". It matches the Rfam family "Bacterial small subunit ribosomal RNA", at positions 38 to 561 of the family's 1533-position model. The record is from RNAcentral. Lineage: Bacteria; Pseudomonadati; Pseudomonadota; Alphaproteobacteria.
GGCGGCAGGCCUAACACAUGCAAGUCGAACGGAUCCUUCGGGAUUAGUGGCGGACGGGUGAGUAACACGUGGGAACGUGCCCUUUGGUUCGGAACAACUCAGGGAAACUUGAGCUAAUACCGGAUAAGCCCUUCGGGGGAAAGAUUUAUCGCCAUUGGAGCGGCCCGCGUCUGAUUAGCUAGUUGGUGAGGUAAAGGCUCACCAAGGCUACGAUCAGUAGCUGGUCUGAGAGGAUGAUCAGCCACAUUGGGACUGAGACACGGCCCAAACUCCUACGGGAGGCAGCAGUGGAGAAUCUUGCGCAAUGGGCGAAAGCCUGACGCAGCCAUGCCGCGUGAAUGAUGAAGGUCUUAGGAUUGUAAAAUUCUUUCAGCAGGGACGAUAAUGACGGUACCUGCAGAAGAAGCCCCGGCUAACUUCGUGCCAGCAGCCGCGGUAAUACGAAGGGGGCUAGCGUUGCUCGGAAUUACUGGGCGU